RNAcentral lists this ribosomal RNA (2926 nucleotides) under Escherichia coli. RNAcentral's name for it is "23S ribosomal RNA". It matches the Rfam family "Bacterial large subunit ribosomal RNA". The record is from RNAcentral. Lineage: Bacteria; Pseudomonadati; Pseudomonadota; Gammaproteobacteria; Enterobacterales; Enterobacteriaceae.
GGGUUGUGAGGUUAAGCGACUAAGCGUACACGGUGGAUGCCCUGGCAGUCAGAGGCGAUGAAGGACGUGCUAAUCUGCGAUAAGCGUCGGUAAGGUGAUAUGAACCGUUAUAACCGGCGAUUUCCGAAUGGGGAAACCCAGUGUGUUUCGAUACACUAUCAUUAACUGAAUCCAUAGGUUAAUGAGGCGAACCGGGGGAACUGAAACAUCUAAGUACCCCGAGGAAAAGAAAUCAACCGAGAUUCCCCCAGUAGCGGCGAGCGAACGGGGAGCAGCCCAGAGCCUGAAUCAGUGUGUGUGUUAGUGGAAGCGUCUGGAAAGGCGCGCGAUACAGGGUGACAGCCCCGUACACAAAAAUGCACAUGCUGUGAGCUCGAUGAGUAGGGCGGGACACGUGGUAUCCUGUCUGAAUAUGGGGGGACCAUCCUCCAAGGCUAAAUACUCCUGACUGACCGAUAGUGAACCAGUACCGUGAGGGAAAGGCGAAAAGAACCCCGGCGAGGGGAGUGAAAAAGAACCUGAAACCGUGUACGUACAAGCAGUGGGAGCACGCUUAGGCGUGUGACUGCGUACCUUUUGUAUAAUGGGUCAGCGACUUAUAUUCUGUAGCAAGGUUAACCGAAUAGGGGAGCCGAAGGGAAACCGAGUCUUAACUGGGCGUUAAGUUGCAGGGUAUAGACCCGAAACCCGGUGAUCUAGCCAUGGGCAGGUUGAAGGUUGGGUAACACUAACUGGAGGACCGAACCGACUAAUGUUGAAAAAUUAGCGGAUGACUUGUGGCUGGGGGUGAAAGGCCAAUCAAACCGGGAGAUAGCUGGUUCUCCCCGAAAGCUAUUUAGGUAGCGCCUCGUGAAUUCAUCUCCGGGGGUAGAGCACUGUUUCGGCAAGGGGGUCAUCCCGACUUACCAACCCGAUGCAAACUGCGAAUACCGGAGAAUGUUAUCACGGGAGACACACGGCGGGUGCUAACGUCCGUCGUGAAGAGGGAAACAACCCAGACCGCCAGCUAAGGUCCCAAAGUCAUGGUUAAGUGGGAAACGAUGUGGGAAGGCCCAGACAGCCAGGAUGUUGGCUUAGAAGCAGCCAUCAUUUAAAGAAAGCGUAAUAGCUCACUGGUCGAGUCGGCCUGCGCGGAAGAUGUAACGGGGCUAAACCAUGCACCGAAGCUGCGGCAGCGACACUAUGUGUUGUUGGGUAGGGGAGCGUUCUGUAAGCCUGUGAAGGUGUGCUGUGAGGCAUGCUGGAGGUAUCAGAAGUGCGAAUGCUGACAUAAGUAACGAUAAAGCGGGUGAAAAGCCCGCUCGCCGGAAGACCAAGGGUUCCUGUCCAACGUUAAUCGGGGCAGGGUGAGUCGACCCCUAAGGCGAGGCCGAAAGGCGUAGUCGAUGGGAAACAGGUUAAUAUUCCUGUACUUGGUGUUACUGCGAAGGGGGGACGGAGAAGGCUAUGUUGGCCGGGCGACGGUUGUCCCGGUUUAAGCGUGUAGGCUGGUUUUCCAGGCAAAUCCGGAAAAUCAAGGCUGAGGCGUGAUGACGAGGCACUACGGUGCUGAAGCAACAAAUGCCCUGCUUCCAGGAAAAGCCUCUAAGCAUCAGGUAACAUCAAAUCGUACCCCAAACCGACACAGGUGGUCAGGUAGAGAAUACCAAGGCGCUUGAGAGAACUCGGGUGAAGGAACUAGGCAAAAUGGUGCCGUAACUUCGGGAGAAGGCACGCUGAUAUGUAGGUGAAGUCCCUCGCGGAUGGAGCUGAAAUCAGUCGAAGAUACCAGCUGGCUGCAACUGUUUAUUAAAAACACAGCACUGUGCAAACACGAAAGUGGACGUAUACGGUGUGACGCCUGCCCGGUGCCGGAAGGUUAAUUGAUGGGGUUAGCCGCAAGGCGAAGCUCUUGAUCGAAGCCCCGGUAAACGGCGGCCGUAACUAUAACGGUCCUAAGGUAGCGAAAUUCCUUGUCGGGUAAGUUCCGACCUGCACGAAUGGCGUAAUGAUGGCCAGGCUGUCUCCACCCGAGACUCAGUGAAAUUGAACUCGCUGUGAAGAUGCAGUGUACCCGCGGCAAGACGGAAAGACCCCGUGAACCUUUACUAUAGCUUGACACUGAACAUUGAGCCUUGAUGUGUAGGAUAGGUGGGAGGCUUUGAAGUGUGGACGCCAGUCUGCAUGGAGCCGACCUUGAAAUACCACCCUUUAAUGUUUGAUGUUCUAACGUUGACCCGUAAUCCGGGUUGCGGACAGUGUCUGGUGGGUAGUUUGACUGGGGCGGUCUCCUCCUAAAGAGUAACGGAGGAGCACGAAGGUUGGCUAAUCCUGGUCGGACAUCAGGAGGUUAGUGCAAUGGCAUAAGCCAGCUUGACUGCGAGCGUGACGGCGCGAGCAGGUGCGAAAGCAGGUCAUAGUGAUCCGGUGGUUCUGAAUGGAAGGGCCAUCGCUCAACGGAUAAAAGGUACUCCGGGGAUAACAGGCUGAUACCGCCCAAGAGUUCAUAUCGACGGCGGUGUUUGGCACCUCGAUGUCGGCUCAUCACAUCCUGGGGCUGAAGUAGGUCCCAAGGGUAUGGCUGUUCGCCAUUUAAAGUGGUACGCGAGCUGGGUUUAGAACGUCGUGAGACAGUUCGGUCCCUAUCUGCCGUGGGCGCUGGAGAACUGAGGGGGGCUGCUCCUAGUACGAGAGGACCGGAGUGGACGCAUCACUGGUGUUCGGGUUGUCAUGCCAAUGGCACUGCCCGGUAGCUAAAUGCGGAAGAGAUAAGUGCUGAAAGCAUCUAAGCACGAAACUUGCCCCGAGAUGAGUUCUCCCUGACUCCUUGAGAGUCCUGAAGGAACGUUGAAGACGACGACGUUGAUAGGCCGGGUGUGUAAGCGCAGCGAUGCGUUGAGCUAACCGGUACUAAUGAACCGUGAGGCUUAACCUUACAACGCCGAAG